GGAACUGGAUUGGAACGCCAAACAGCUCUAGAUUCGAGGGUUUCCAUUAUAGCCGAACGCGAGGGAAAGAUCAUUUCUACUGAUAGUCAUAAGAUACUUUUAUCAAGUAGUGGGAAGACUAUAAGUAUUCCUUUAGUUAACCACCGUCGCUCUAACAAAAAUGUAAAAUCCGAACAAGUAAUUGCGGAGAUUCGUGCCGGAACGUCCACUUUACAUUUUAAAGAAAGGGUACAAAAGCAUAUUUAUUCUGAAUCAGACGGCGAAAUGCACUGGAGUACUGAUGUUUACCAUGCGCCCGAAUAUCAAUAUGGUAAUCUUCGCCGAUUACCAAAAACAAGCCAUUUAUGGAUGUCUCUGCACGAAUUACGGAUGGCACUUGAUCCGGCGGAUGUGAGUCACUUGCUUCUACUCAUGCAUGGCUAG
RNAcentral lists this ribosomal RNA (423 nucleotides) under Triticum aestivum (bread wheat). Its description in RNAcentral is "partial small subunit ribosomal RNA". The record is from RNAcentral. Lineage: Eukaryota; Viridiplantae; Streptophyta; Magnoliopsida; Poales; Poaceae.